UUUGCGUCGAAGGUAUACCGGUAAGGAGUGCUGGAGCGAAUAGAAGUGAGCAUGCAGGCAUGAGUAGCGAUAAUUAAUGUGAGAAUCAUUAACGCCGUAAACCCAAGGUUUCCUACGCGAUGCUCGUCAUCGUAGGGUUAGUCGGGUCCUAAGUCGAGUCCGAAAGGGGUAGACGAUGGCAAAUUGGUUAAUAUUCCAAUACCAACAUUAGUGUGCGAUGGAAGGACGCUUAGGGCUAAGGGGGCUAGCGGAUGGAAGUGCUAGUCUAAGGUCGUAGGAGGUUAUACAGGCAAAUCCGUAUAACAAUACUCCGAGAACUGAAAGGCUUUUUGAAGUCUUCGGAUGGAUAGAAGAACCCCUGAUGCCGUCGAGCCAAGAAAAGUUUCUAAGUUUAGCUAAUGUUGCCCGUACCGUAAACCGACACAGGUGGGUGGGAUGAGUAUUCUAAGGCGCGUGGAAGAACUCUCUUUAAGGAACUCUGCAAAAUAGCACCGUAUCUUCGGUAUAAGGUGUGGUUAGCUUUGUAUUAGGAUUUACUCCGAAAGCAAGGAAACUUACAACAAAGAGUCCCUCCCGACUGUUUACCAAAAACACAGCACUCUGCUAACUCGUAAGAGGAUGUAUAGGGUGUGACGCCUGCCCGGUGCUCGAAGGUUAAUUGAUGGGGUUAGCAUUAGCGAAGCUCUUGAUCGAAGCCCGAGUAAACGGCGGCCGUAACUAUAACGGUCCUAAGGUAGCGAAAUUCCUUGUCGGUUAAAUACCGACCUGCAUGAAUGGCGUAACGAGAUGGGAGCUGUCUCAAAGAGGGAUCCAGUGAAAUUGUAGUGGAGGUGAAAAUUCCUCCUACCCGCGGCAAGACGGAAAGACCCCGUGGACCUUUACUACAGCUUGACACUGCUACUUGGAUAAGAAUGUGCAGGAUAGGUGGGAGGCUUUGAGUAUAUGACGCCAGUUGUAUAUGAGCCAUUGUUGAGAUACCACUCUUUCUUAUUUGGGUAGCUAACCAGCUUGAGUUAUCCUCAAGUGGGACAAUGUCUGGUGGGUAGUUUGACUGGGGCGGUCGCCUCCCAAAUAAUAACGGAGGCUUACAAAGGUUGGCUCAGAACGGUUGGAAAUCGUUCGUAGAGUAUAAAGGUAUAAGCCAGCUUAACUGCAAGACAUACAAGUCAAGCAGAGACGAAAGUCGGUCUUAGUGAUCCGGUGGUUCUGUGUGGAAGGGCCAUCGCUCAAAGGAUAAAAGGUACCCCGGGGAUAACAGGCUGAUCUCCCCCAAGAGCUCACAUCGACGGGGAGGUUUGGCACCUCGAUGUCGGCUCAUCGCAUCCUGGGGCUGGAGCAGGUCCCAAGGGUAUGGCUGUUCGCCAUUUAAAGCGGUACGCGAGCUGGGUUCAGA
Molecule: ribosomal RNA, 1393 nt
Filed under: Campylobacter jejuni
Lineage: Bacteria; Pseudomonadati; Campylobacterota; Epsilonproteobacteria; Campylobacterales; Campylobacteraceae
Description: partial 23S ribosomal RNA
Rfam family: Bacterial large subunit ribosomal RNA
Source: RNAcentral